AGCCCUGAAAAUCUUCACAGAAUGUGGUCCAUGUUCGAACUGAGUUGAAGCCUUAUGACUCUGCCAUCAUGGAGCGCUCCCUUCCGCUUUUCCUCAAAUCCUAAUAGAAUUUGACCAGAGCAGGUUUUAGAAGAACCAUACACACAGGUUUCCUUGUGGGCUAGCAGACUACUUCGAAGCUGUUUCAACAGAAGACCAUAUGACAAUUUAAACUCCCUUAUAAACUAGAAAAUAUGUAUUAACCACUUUGUCUUGUUGUAAUUACUCUAGUCAUAUUGCACUACAUCUUCCUCUUGCAAGCAUCUGCAUCAUAAACCACCCUAAAGAAACCAAGUAGAACAUGAUAUAUUAUUCAAACAGUUAAAAGGAGCCUCUAGCCCAGAGACACUUCUCUUUGGUCUUUGCAAUCCUCUGCACAACAAAAUUGGAUGCAGCAGAUGAGCUAAUGAGAUGGAAGUAACACUGUUAAUGACCACAGAUGAAUGAAAUGAGACUCUGAUUGUGAUUACAUGUUCCUGCAGCUGCUUUAUAAGUUAGGUUGUGCUUCUCUUUCUUUUUAGUGGGAGGAAAAACAGUGUGUUGUCUACAGCUGCUAUUUCACUGGGAACUAAGAAGUCUACACAGCACUGAAGAACUUCUUUUUAAAGAAAGAUUGAAGAGCUCCAAGGCAAUGGAGAGCACCAU
Molecule: long non-coding RNA, 684 nt
Organism: Anser cygnoides (Swan goose)
Lineage: Eukaryota; Metazoa; Chordata; Aves; Anseriformes; Anatidae
Source: Ensembl